This 401-nucleotide ribosomal RNA is filed under the name uncultured bacterium. RNAcentral describes it as "bacterial SSU rRNA". It matches the Rfam family "Bacterial small subunit ribosomal RNA", at positions 356 to 774 of the family's 1533-position model. The record is from RNAcentral.
CGGGAAUUUUGGGCAAUGGGCGAAAGCCUGACCCAGCAACGCCGCGUGAGGGAUGAAGUAUUUCGGUAUGUAAACCUCGAAAGAAUGGGAAGAAUAAAUGACGGUACCAUUUAUAAGCUCCGGCUAACUACGUGCCAGCAGCCGCGGUAAUACGUGGGGAGCAAGCGUUGUUCGGAUUUACUGGGCGUAAAGGGCGCGUAGGCGGCGCGGUAAGUCACUUGUGAAAUCCCUGAGCUUAACUCAGAACGGCCAAGUGAUACUGCUGUGCUAGAGUGCGGAAGAGGCAACCGGAAUUCUUGGUGUAGCGGUGAAAUGCGUAGAUAUCAAGAGGAACACCUGAGGCGAAGGCGGGUUGCUGGGCCGACACUGACGCUGAUGCGCGAAAGCCAGGGGAGCAAACG